UGUUUCAGCUACAAGUUCACUGUCAGCUACCUUGUUUCGACUUCGUAUUGACUGUGU
This 57-nucleotide ribosomal RNA is filed under the name Babesia microti strain RI. Its description in RNAcentral is "SSU7". Lineage: Eukaryota; Apicomplexa; Aconoidasida; Piroplasmida; Babesiidae. The record is from RNAcentral.